Long non-coding RNA from Medicago truncatula (barrel medic), 623 nucleotides. RefSeq lists it as uncharacterized. The record is from RefSeq and is a predicted model, not a curated record. The transcript is spliced from 2 exons. Lineage: Eukaryota; Viridiplantae; Streptophyta; Magnoliopsida; Fabales; Fabaceae.
UUUGUUUUGUUCCUUAUAUAUUCAAUUAACAUUAAUAUUUUUCUAUUAAACUCAACCUUGUUCUUUCAUCCGUUCCUGCGAUCAAACGAUCAAGAGGCAUGACGGUCAAUAACAUUACCCGCGGCGGCACUUGGUUUUUUGUUUCUGCUAUCAAAAACCAUGGCAUGGUUGGUCCUUGAUUGUGUCGGAGGGGCCGUAUCUGAGGCAGGGCGAAGAGGGCGACCGCCAUGGGCUCCAAAAAAUAAGUACUAAAUUUGCCCGUUUCAAUUAUAAACGUUCUCUGAAUGAACAAAAUUAGUGGCGCUAAUAAUUCGCAAGCACAACCAAUGAAUAAUAAAACUGCAACAUUUUACUUUAUGAUGUCCUGCUAGAUGAUGUUUUUCCAGCUUUGAAUUCCUAAAACUGGCAUGUCUGUAUCUGUUGCACCAUUGUGUGUGCACUUUUUCUAUUUUCCAUCUUUUCAUGCUUUAGGUUAUCAAGAACACAAAUUCACGGUUUGUAUGCGCUUUUUCCAGUUUCCAUCUUUUCAUGCUUUAGUUUAUCAAAAACAGAAAUUCAUAUUUCAUAAGAAUUAUUAUUAUCAUAUAAUAUAUGCUUUAGUCCAUCGAUUGUGACUUGUUGAA